Molecule: ribosomal RNA, 777 nt
Filed under: uncultured marine group I thaumarchaeote
Lineage: Archaea; Thermoproteati; Nitrososphaerota
Description: SSU rRNA
Rfam family: Archaeal small subunit ribosomal RNA
Source: RNAcentral
CGGCUCAGUAACACGUAGUCAACCUACCCUAUGGACAAGAAUAAUCUCGGGAAACUGGGCAUAAUUCUUGAUAGAUCAUAAUGCCUGGAAUGGUUUAUGGUUAAAAUGAUUCGUCGCCAUAGGAUGGGACUGCGGCCUAUCAGCUUGUUGGUGAGGUAAUGGCCCACCAAGGCGAUUACAGGUACGGGCUCUGAGAGGAGAAGCCCGGAGAUGGGUACUGAGACACGGACCCAGGCCCUAUGGGGCGCAGCAGGCGAGAAAACUUUGCAAUGUGCGAAAGCACGACAAGGUUAAUCCGAGUGAUUUCUGCUAAAGAAAUCUUUUGCCAGUCAUAAAACCACUGGUGAAUAAGGGGUGGGCAAGUUCUGGUGUCAGCCGCCGCGGUAAAACCAGCACCUCAAGUGGUCAGGAUGAUUAUUGGGCCUAAAGCAUCCGUAGCCGGCUUUGUAAGUUUUCGGUUAAAUCCAUGUGCUCAACGCAUGGGCUGCCGAAAAUACUGCAUGGCUAGGGAGUGGGAGAGGUAGACGGUACUCAGUAGGAAGGGGUAAAAUCCUUUGAUCUAUUGAUGACCACCUGUGGCGAAGGCGGUCUACCAGAACACGUUCGACGGUGAGGGGUGAAAGCUGGGGGAGCAAACCGGAUUAGAUACCCGGGUAGUCCCAGCUGUAAACGAUGCAGACUCGAUGAUGCAUUGGCAUAAUAGCCAGUGCAGUGUCACAGGGAAGCCGUUAAGUCUGCCGCCUGGGAAGUACGUACGCAAGUAUGAAACUUAAAGGA